AUUGAACGCUGGCGGCAUGCCUUACACAUGCAAGUCGAACGGUAACAGGUCUUUCGGGAUGCUGACGAGUGGCGAACGGGUGAGUAAUACAUCGGAACGUGCCUAGUAGUGGGGGAUAACUACUCGAAAGAGUGGCUAAUACCGCAUGAGAUCUAUGGAUGAAAGCAGGGGACCUUUGGGCCUUGUGCUACUAGAUCGGCCGAUGGCAGAUUAGGUAGUUGGUGUGAUAAAAGCUUACCAAGCCUACGAUCUGUAGCUGGUCUGAGAGGACGAUCAGCCACACUGGGACUGAGACACGGCCCAGACUCCUGCGGGAGGCAGCAGUGGGGAAUUUUGGACAAUGGGCGCAAGCCUGAUCCAGCAAUGCCGCGUGUAGGAUGAAGGCCUUCGGGUUGUAAACUGCUUUUGUACGGAACGAAAAGUCUUGGGUUAAUACCCUGGGAUCAUGACGGUACCGUAAGAAUAAGCACCGGCUAACUACGUG
Molecule: ribosomal RNA, 484 nt
Filed under: uncultured bacterium
Lineage: Bacteria
Description: partial 16S ribosomal RNA
Rfam family: Bacterial small subunit ribosomal RNA
Source: RNAcentral